UACAGACGAAAAGGUGACAAAACUAUC
RNAcentral lists this non-coding RNA (27 nucleotides) under Bombyx mori (domestic silkworm). Lineage: Eukaryota; Metazoa; Arthropoda; Insecta; Lepidoptera; Bombycidae. The record is from RNAcentral.